GAUAAGGUGGCUGAGAAUUUAGGUGAUAGAUUGUAAAUCUAUAAACGAGGUUAAACCUCCCUUAUCA
This 67-nucleotide transfer RNA is filed under the name Serratella sp. Yunnan-2018. RNAcentral describes it as "tRNA-Tyr". It matches the Rfam family "tRNA". From Rfam's summary of the family: Transfer RNA (tRNA) molecules are approximately 80 nucleotides in length. Lineage: Eukaryota; Metazoa; Arthropoda; Insecta; Ephemeroptera; Ephemerellidae. The record is from RNAcentral.